GCGGGAAUAGCUCAGUGGUAGAGCACAACCUUGACAAGGUUGGGGUCGCGAGUUCGAGCCUCGUUUCCCGCUCCA
This 75-nucleotide transfer RNA is filed under the name Francisella tularensis subsp. holarctica. RNAcentral describes it as "tRNA-Val". It matches the Rfam family "tRNA". Rfam says of the family: Transfer RNA (tRNA) molecules are approximately 80 nucleotides in length. The record is from RNAcentral. Lineage: Bacteria; Pseudomonadati; Pseudomonadota; Gammaproteobacteria; Thiotrichales; Francisellaceae.